AUGCAUUGGACAUUUCCACAUUAAGUCAUUGACUCUCACACAUGCCUCAUAUAAGUUCUCAUCCUCUAAUUGCUUAAAUGAUGUGAAGUCAUUUCACAGCUU
Molecule: small nucleolar RNA, 102 nt
Organism: Hibiscus syriacus
Lineage: Eukaryota; Viridiplantae; Streptophyta; Magnoliopsida; Malvales; Malvaceae
Source: RefSeq, a predicted model, not a curated record